AGAGUUUGAUCAUGGCUCAGAACGUACGCUGGCGGCACGCUAACACAUGCAAGUCGAACGAAGUAGCAAUACUUAGUGGCAGACGGGUGAGUAACAUGUGGGUAUCUACCCUUUGGCCUGGAAUAACACGAGGAAACUUGUGCUAAUACUGGAUAAGUCUUUACGGAGAAAGCUUUAUGCACCAUUGGAUGAGCCCGCAUUUGAUUAGUUUGUUGGUAGGGUAAUGGCCUACCAAGACUUUGAUCAAUAGCUGAUUUGAGAGGAUGAUCAGCCACAUUGGGACUGAGACACGGCCCAAACUCCUACGGGAGGCAGCAGUGGGGAAUCUUGCACAAUGGAGGAAACUCUGAUGCAGCGAUGCCGCGUGAGUGAAGAAGGCCCUUGGGUUGUAAAGCUCUUUCGUCGGGGAAGAAAAUGACUGUACCCGAAUAAGAAGGUCCGGCUAACUUCGUGCCAGCAGCCGCGGUAAUACGAAGGGACCUAGCGUAGUUCGGAAUUACUGGGCUUAAAGAGUUCGUAGGUGGUUGAAAAAGUUGGUGGUGAAAUCCCAGAGCUUAACUCUGGAACUGCCAUCAAAACUUUUCAGCUAGAGUUUGAUAGAGGAAAGCAGAAUUUCUAGUGUAGAGGUGAAAUUCGUAGAUAUUAGAAAGAAUACCAAUUGCGAAGGCAGCUUUCUGGAUCAUUACUGACACUGAGGAACGAAAGCAUGGGUAGCGAAGAGGAUUAGAUACCCUCGUAGUCCAUGCCGUAAACGAUGUGUGUUAGACGUUGGAAAUUUAUUUUCAGUGUCGCAGCGAAAGCGAUAAACACACCGCCUGGGGAGUACGACCGCAAGGUUAAAACUCAAAUGAAUUGACGGGGACCCGCACAAGUAGUGGAGCAUGUGGUUUAAUUCGAAGAUACGCGCAGAACCUUACCAACACUUGACAUGUUCGUCGCGACUUUAAGAGAUUAAAGUUUUCGGUUCGGCCGGACGAAACAC
RNAcentral lists this ribosomal RNA (982 nucleotides) under marine metagenome. Its description in RNAcentral is "bacterial SSU rRNA". It matches the Rfam family "Bacterial small subunit ribosomal RNA", at positions 8 to 1035 of the family's 1533-position model. The record is from RNAcentral.